RNAcentral lists this ribosomal RNA (253 nucleotides) under uncultured bacterium. RNAcentral describes it as "partial 16S ribosomal RNA". It matches the Rfam family "Bacterial small subunit ribosomal RNA", at positions 524 to 776 of the family's 1533-position model. The record is from RNAcentral.
UACGGAGGGGGCUAGCGUUGUUCGGAAUUACUGGGCGUAAAGGGCGUGUAGGCGGCUUGCCAAGUCAGGCGUGAAAGCCCCGGGCUUAACCUGGGAACUGCGUUUGAGACUGGCAGGCUAGAGGUUGGUAGAGGGGGGUGGAAUUCCCAGUGUAGAGGUGAAAUUCGUAGAUAUUGGGAAGAACACCGGUGGCGAAGGCGGCUCUCUGGUCCACGACUGACGCUGAGGCGCGAAAGCGUGGGGAGCAAACAGG